UGGGGAAUAUUGGACAAUGGGCGCAAGCCUGAUCCAGCCAUGCCGCGUGAGUGAUGAAGGCCUUAGGGUUGUAAAGCUCUUUUGUCCGGGAAGAUAAUGACUGUACCGGAAGAAUAAGCCCCGGCUAACUUCGUGCCAGCAGCCGCGGUAAUACGAAGGGGGCUAGCGUUGCUCGGAAUCACUGGGCGUAAAGGGCGCGUAGGCGGACUUUUAAGUCGGAGGUGAAAGCCCAGGGCUCAACCCUGGAAUUGCCUUCGAUACUGGGAGUCUUGAGUUCGGAAAAGGUUGGUGGAACUGCGAGUGUAGAGGUGAAAUACGUAGAUAUUCGCAAGAACACCGGUGGCGAAGGCGGCCAACUGGUCCGAAACUGACGCUGAGGCGCGAAAGCGUGGGGAGCAAACAGG
This 404-nucleotide ribosomal RNA is filed under the name Bacillota bacterium. Its description in RNAcentral is "Firmicutes bacterium partial 16S ribosomal RNA". It matches the Rfam family "Bacterial small subunit ribosomal RNA", at positions 355 to 776 of the family's 1533-position model. The record is from RNAcentral. Lineage: Bacteria; Bacillati; Bacillota.